This 532-nucleotide ribosomal RNA is filed under the name uncultured archaeon. RNAcentral describes it as "bacterial SSU rRNA". It matches the Rfam family "Archaeal small subunit ribosomal RNA", at positions 345 to 879 of the family's 1478-position model. The record is from RNAcentral.
AAACUUCGCAAUGGGGGCAACCCCGACGAGGGAAUUCCAAGUGCCAGCACUUUGUGUUGGCUGUUCUUCUGUCUAAAAAACAGGAGGAGUAAGGGGCGGGUAAGACGGGUGCCAGCCGCCGCGGUAAUACCCGCGCCCCGAGUGGUGGUCGAUAUUAUUGAGCCUAAAACGUCCGUAGCCGGUCUUCUAAAUCCUUGGGUAAAUCGGGCAGCUUAACUGUCCGAAUUCCGAGGAGACUGGAAGACUUGGGACCGGGAGAGGUCAGAGGUACUUCUGGGGUAGGGGUAAAAUCCUGUAAUCCUGGAAGGACCACCGGUGGCGAAGGCGUCUGACUAGAACGGAUCCGACGGUGAGGGACGAAGCCCUGGGGCGCAAACGGGAUUAGAUACCCCGGUAGUCCAGGGUGUAAACGCUGCGGGCUUGGUGUUGGGGGUCCUUUGUGGGCGCCCAGUGCCGGAGAGAAGUUGUUAAGCCUGCUGCUUGGGGAGUAUGUCCGCAAGGAUGAAACUUAAAGGAAUUGGCGGGGGAGCAC